CCUACGGGAGGCAGCAGGAGGGAAUAUUGCGCAAUGGGGGAAACCCGGAAGCAGCAACGCCGCGUGGAGGAUGAAGGUUUUCGGAUUGUAAACUCCUUUUGUUAGAGAAGAGAAUGACGGUAUCUAACGAAUAAGCACCGGCCAACUCCGUGCCAGCCGCCGCGGUAAUACGGAGGGUGCAAGCGUUACUCGGAAUCACUGGGCGUAAAGAGCGCGUAGGCGGGAUAGCAAGUCAGAUGUGAAAUCCUAUGGCUUAACCCUAGAACUGCAUUUGAAACUGUUAUUCUAGAGUAUGGGAGAGGUAGGUGGAAUUCUUGGUGUAGUGGUGACAUCCGUAGAGAUCAAGAGGAAUACUCAUUGCGAAGGCGGCCUGCUAGAACAUAACUGACGCUGAUGCGCGAAAGCGUGGGGAGCAAACAGGAUUAGAUACCCGGGUAGUC
This 440-nucleotide ribosomal RNA is filed under the name uncultured bacterium. RNAcentral's name for it is "partial 16S ribosomal RNA". It matches the Rfam family "Bacterial small subunit ribosomal RNA", at positions 338 to 795 of the family's 1533-position model. The record is from RNAcentral.